CAGGGAGACAAACUGAUCGUGAUGUCUGAGUACUUUAUUCUCAGGCCAUGAUCCUGUCACCUUAGGUCGAUCGGUACCUCGCAGAGAGGAUGAGAGAGCCUGAGCAAUCAGGGGAGAUUCAUCUGAUCUGAUUCAGUUCCUAAACUUUGUCUAGGUCACCCCGUAGCUCCUGGGCCAUUAGCUCAGGUGGUUAGAGCGCACCCCUGAUAAGGGUGAGGUCCCUGGUUCAAGUCCAGGAUGGCCCAUUCACAGCCUGUUUAGCAGGCAGGACUUGACUAGCUGGGGGUUUAGCUCAGUUGGUAGAGCGCCUGCUUUGCAAGCAGGAUGUCAGCGGUUCGAGUCCGCUAACCUCCAUAUCAACGCGGCCCCAUAAGCGGAAGCAAGUGAGCUGAAUCGGAGUGACCAAGAUAGGGAAGGAGAAGAGCUGAGGAUGACUCCAGCCUUCAGGAUUCAAGGAUGAUCGCCUAGGGAAUGGGUGAGACCAAUCUUUGAAUAUUGAAUGCUGGACUCACACCAGCAAGCAGAAGCUUGCUUGGUGAGAUGUUCAGCGAAGAACCUUGACAACUGCAUAGGUGAGUCUGGAAAGAAAGCAUCUCAUGGAUGACCAGUGAAAACUGGAAAUUCUAUUGAGUUUAGAGCCGAGGCUUUCCAGCGUUCUUCCAAGUCCCUGACCAAUCCAGUCAGGGUGAGGGAGUUUGAUUGUGGUGUUCAAACCGCAAGCGAUCAGAAGCUGUGAAUCGAAAGGUUAAUGGCUUGUGAUGGUGAGCAGGUGAACCCGUAAGAAGCGGUUUCAACAGCCGUAAGACGUUGGUGAGUUUAAUU
This 822-nucleotide transfer RNA is filed under the name cyanobacterium DC-19. RNAcentral describes it as "16-23S ribosomal RNA intergenic spacer". The stretch from base 282 to 354 matches the Rfam family "tRNA". Lineage: Bacteria; Bacillati; Cyanobacteriota. The record is from RNAcentral.